Molecule: long non-coding RNA, 246 nt
Filed under: Elaeis guineensis (African oil palm)
Lineage: Eukaryota; Viridiplantae; Streptophyta; Magnoliopsida; Arecales; Arecaceae
Description: long non-coding RNA (EGUI_LNC081222)
Source: RNAcentral
GCCUGGAACAUACUAUCUAAAAAAGCUCGGAGGAGCAGACCUUCCGUGACCAUGGAAUUUGAAAAAUCUACGAAUGUAUUACCGAUAACUUUAUCUUAAAUAAAAAUUUUAUAUUCGCAUAUCCUUUCUUUUGGCAUGAGCUUAUAACGACAGGGAGUAGCUCCUUUAGAUAAUCGAAAUUGAGCGUGUUAGGGACAGGAGGAGAACCUCGCCCUAACAUGAGCAAAGUCGAAAGCCCGAUUAUUU